RNAcentral lists this ribosomal RNA (113 nucleotides) under Nothoprocta perdicaria. The record is from RNAcentral. Lineage: Eukaryota; Metazoa; Chordata; Aves; Tinamiformes; Tinamidae.
GCACACUGCUACAGUGCGCUGAAAGCACCUGAUCUCCUCCAAACUUAGAAGCUAAGCAGACCAGGCCUCUGAAUAGCUGGACGGKAAAAUCACCUGAAAACAGGCAACAGUCC